ACUCCUACGGGAGGCAGCAGUGGGGAAUAUUGCACAAUGGGCGCAAGCCUGAUGCAGCCAUGCCGCGUGUAUGAAGAAGGCCUUCGGGUUGUAAAGUACUUUCAGCAGUGAGGAAGGUGGGUAUGUUAAUAGCAUAUUCAUUUGACGUUAGCUGCAGAAGAAGCACCGGCUAACUCCGUGCCAGCAGCCGCGGUAAUACGGAGGGUGCGAGCGUUAAUCGGAAUUACUGGGCGUAAAGCGCAUGCAGGUGGUUUGUUAAGUCAGAUGUGAAAGCCCGGGGCUCAACCUCGGAAUUGCAUUUGAAACUGGCAAACUAGAGUACUGUAGAGGGGGGUAGAAUUUCAGGUGUAGCGGUGAAAUGCGUAGAGAUCUGAAGGAAUACCGGUGGCGAAGGCGGCCCCCUGGACAGAUACUGACACUCAGAUGCGAAAGCGUGGGGAGCAAACAGGAUUAGAUACCCUGGUAGGCUACUGC
Molecule: ribosomal RNA, 474 nt
Filed under: uncultured bacterium
Lineage: Bacteria
Description: bacterial SSU rRNA
Rfam family: Bacterial small subunit ribosomal RNA
Source: RNAcentral